GUAAGAGAUGAUUUUUAUCAGGUGAAGCCUUUUGUCAUCUUGAUAGGCGACCACUGUAACUGUGACUGAAGCUCUGCUGGUUCCUAUAGUUGCUUAACAUGCUUUCCACAAUUCUUUAAGGCCCUUUGCUGUGAUCUAGUGCAUGCACUCUGGAAAAUGUUGGUGGAAUCAGCACCUUGGGGAGGCAGAAGUGGCCACGGUAAACCAGUCUGGAAGAAUAACUUCUUGUUCCUGAACCAGUAAAAUUUCCAGGCUGAAGAUGCUGUUUGCAUUCCUGGCCUGGCUGCCUCCUCCAGCAAGCAGUCAUUCUGUUAUCAGUUCUGUAGCCACAUCUUCAUCUCUGACUCAAAUUCCUCUGCUCCAUCUUUUACGUAUAAGGACCUCUGUGAUGACAUCGGACCUACCAGGAUAAUGGAGGAUAAUCUCUCCAUCUCAAAAUUCUAAGCAAGAGAUGUGGGCAGAUGCACUGUUUGAGCAUCACUUACAGAGACUGAGUGAGGAGACGUUGUUGGAAAGGAGAAAAAGAAGCAGAAGGUGGAAAUUACU
RNAcentral lists this long non-coding RNA (546 nucleotides) under Homo sapiens (human). Its description in RNAcentral is "HSALNT0092289". Lineage: Eukaryota; Metazoa; Chordata; Mammalia; Primates; Hominidae. The record is from RNAcentral.